UGGAGAGUUUGAUCCUGGCUCAGGACGAACGCUGGCGGCGUGCUUAACACAUGCAAGUCGAACGGAAAGGCCCUUUCGGGGGUACUCGAGUGGCGAACGGGUGAGUAACACGUGGGUGAUCUGCCCUGCACUCUGGGAUAAGCCUGGGAAACUGGGUCUAAUACCGGAUAGGACCAUGGGAUGCAUGUUCUGUGGUGGAAAGCUUUUGCGGUGUGGGAUGGGCCCGCGGCCUAUCAGCUUGUUGGUGGGGUGAUGGCCUACCAAGGCGACGACGGGUAGCCGGCCUGAGAGGGUGUCCGGCCACACUGGGACUGAGAUACGGCCCAGACUCCUACGGGAGGCAGCAGUGGGGAAUAUUGCACAAUGGGCGCAAGCCUGAUGCAGCGACGCCGCGUGGGGGAUGACGGCCUUCGGGUUGUAAACCUCUUUCAGUAUCGGCGAAGCUCCCUGGUUUUGUUNGGGGUGACGGUAGGUACAGAAGAAGCACCGGCCAACUACGUGCCAGCAGCCGCGGUA
This 516-nucleotide ribosomal RNA is filed under the name Mycobacterium terrae. Its description in RNAcentral is "Mycolicibacter terrae bacterial SSU rRNA". It matches the Rfam family "Bacterial small subunit ribosomal RNA", at positions 1 to 522 of the family's 1533-position model. Lineage: Bacteria; Bacillati; Actinomycetota; Actinomycetes; Mycobacteriales; Mycobacteriaceae. The record is from RNAcentral.